CUACGGGUGGCUCCAGUGAGGAAUAUUGCACAAUGGGGGGAACCCUGAUGCAGCAACGCCGCGUGGAGGAUGACGCAUUUCGGUGUGUAAACUCCUUUUAUAUGUCAAGAAAAUGACGGUAGCAUAUGAAUAAGCACCGGCUAACUCCGUGCCAGCAGCCGCGGUAAUACGGAGGGUGCAAGCGUUACUCGGAAUCACUUGGCGUAAAGGAAGCGUAGGCGGGUUGGAAAGUCAGGUGUGAAAUCCUACAGCUUAACUGUAGAACUGCACUUGAAACUUCUAAUCUAGAGUAUGGGAGGGGGAGAUAGAAUUAGUGGUGUAGGGGUAAAAUCCGUAGAUAUCACUAGGAAUACCUAAAGCGAAGGCGAUCUCCUGGAACAUUACUGACGCUAAGGCGUGAAAGCGUGGGGAGCAAACAGGAUUAGAUACCCUAGUAGUC
Molecule: ribosomal RNA, 439 nt
Filed under: uncultured bacterium
Lineage: Bacteria
Description: partial 16S ribosomal RNA
Rfam family: Bacterial small subunit ribosomal RNA
Source: RNAcentral